AACGAACGCUGGCGGCAUGCCUAACACAUGCAAGUCGAACGAGACCUUCGGGUCUAGUGGCGCACGGGUGCGUAACGCGUGGGAACCUGCCCUUAGGUUCGGAAUAACUCCCCGAAAGGGGUGCUAAUACCGGAUAAUGUCUUCGGACCAAAGGUUUAUCGCCUUUGGAUGGGCCCGCGUUGGAUUAGCUAGUUGGUAGGGUAAAAGCCUACCAAGGCGACGAUCCAUAGCUGGUCUGAGAGGAUGAUCAGCCACACUGGGACUGAGACACGGCCCAGACUCCUACGGGAGGCAGCAGUAGGGAAUAUUGGACAAUAGGCGAAAGCCUGAUCCAGCAAUGCCGCGUGAGUGAUGAAGGCGUUAGGGUUGUAAAGCUCUUUUAACCGGGAUGAUAAUGACAGUACCGAGAGAAUAAGCUCCGGCUAACUCCGUG
Molecule: ribosomal RNA, 433 nt
Filed under: uncultured bacterium
Lineage: Bacteria
Description: partial 16S ribosomal RNA
Rfam family: Bacterial small subunit ribosomal RNA
Source: RNAcentral